CCCCUUGGGAGGAAAAGAAACCAACAGGGAUUACCUCAGUAACGGCGAGUGAAGCGGUAACAGCUCAAAUUUGAAAGCUAGCUCUUUUAGGGUUCGCAUUGUAAUUUGUAGAAGAUGCUUCGGGUGUGGCCCCGGUCUAAGUUCCUUGGAACAGGACGUCAUAGAGGGUGAGAAUCCCGUAUGUGACUGGGUGCUUUCGCUCAUGUGAAGCUCUUUCGACGAGUCGAGUUGUUUGGGAAUGCAGCUCAAAAUGGGUGGUAAAUUUCAUCUAAAGCUAAAUAUUGGCCAGAGACCGAUAGCGCACAAGUAGAGUGAUCGAAAGAUGAAAAGCACUUUGGAAAGAGAGUUAAACAGUACGUGAAAUUGUUGAAAGGGAAGCGCUUGCAACCAGACUUGCGCGCUGAUGAUCAUCCGGGCUUCUGUCCGGUGCACUCGUCUGCGCUCAGGCCAGCAUCGGUUUCGGUGGUGGGAUAAAGGCCUUGGGAAUGUAGCUUCUUUCGGGGAGUGUUAUAGCCCUCGGUGCAAUGCCGCCUACCGGGACCGAGGACCGCGCUCGGCUAGGAUGCGCGUAAAUCCUACCU
Molecule: ribosomal RNA, 581 nt
Filed under: Leotiomycetes sp. 'Phialophora'
Lineage: Eukaryota; Fungi; Ascomycota; Leotiomycetes
Description: eukaryotic LSU rRNA
Rfam family: Eukaryotic large subunit ribosomal RNA
Source: RNAcentral